UGAGAACCCUGAAGGAAGACGAACCAAGAGGAGGAAGGCGCCGUGUGACUUCUACACUGUCAGCUCUUUGUGAUGCCCUCUUCUUUUUUAAGCAUCUGUGUCCAGCAUGAGGAGAGAGAGAUGUUAUGGUUGCAGAGAGCACCUAAUGGGGCGAUGGGAUUCAGUCACAGAUGGGGGGUCAAGUGAUCUGCCUUUUCUGGAAGGAUCUUUCAGAUGGUUGUGGUGAGACUAAUUGUGAUAGCAUGCAAAAUGGAGCCAGUACUUUUAUCUUCAUUAACAAAGAGACUGUUUCUUUUUCUGUUUUUUUUUUCUAUUUUUUUUUUUCUGAGAUUCGUCAACUCUUGCAGCCGCUGAUUGAGCCAAUGAUACUCUGUGUUCUCUGUAAAUGGGAGGCAUGUGUUUAAUUGCCAAAACCAAAAAAAAAAAUAGAAAAGAUAGUGAAUGAUGUGAAAAUAAAUGCGCUUUUUCAGUUUAUUUCUGUUUAUAGUGAACUUCACCAUAUCCUAGGGUAUAAAUAUCUUCCAUAAUUUAUUAACCAAACAAGAGAGUCGCACUGAUUGCCUAAGCUAUGAUUAAGUACUUCAAGUUGGACUAAAAGCCACAAAAACACCCAAACUUAGACUUCAUAAAAGCAAAGCCUGUUGGACAGUUGUAUAUGUCUUCAUGGUCAAAUUGUCAUAACAAGGUUGUAAACUACGCUUUCUAUCCACUUUGCCUCACUUUCUUUGGAGGUCUUGAUCUCCAGCGACGCUGAAAAUAGGAACUUACGCAAAAAGACCAAUAAACCGUGUCUUGUGAUUUUGUAAAAAAA
Molecule: long non-coding RNA, 811 nt
Organism: Poecilia latipinna (sailfin molly)
Lineage: Eukaryota; Metazoa; Chordata; Actinopteri; Cyprinodontiformes; Poeciliidae
Exons: 2
Source: RefSeq, a predicted model, not a curated record